GUGCUCUGAUGCUUAUUGCACCACAUGUGUUUUUCUUUGAAACAAACUUGCUUUGGCGGUGGGCCCAGCCUGCCGCCAGAGGUCUAAACUUACAACCAAUUUUUUAUCAACUUGUCACACCAGAUUAUUACUAAUAGUCAAAACUUUCAACAACGGAUCUCUUGGUUCUCGCAUCGAUGAAGAACGCAGCGAAAUGCGAUACGUAAUAUGAAUUGCAGAUAUUCGUGAAUCAUCGAAUCUUUGAACGCACAUUGCGCCCUCUGGUAUUCCGGAGGGCAUGCCUGUUUGAGCGUCGUUUCUCCCUCAAACCGCUGGGUUUGGUGUUGAGCAAUACGACUUGGGUUUGCUUGAAAGACGGUAGUGGUAAGGCGGGAUCGCUUUGACAAUGGCUUAGGUCUAACCAAAAACAUUGCUUGCGGCGGUAACGUCUACCACGUAUAUCUUCAAACUUUGACCUCAAAUCAGGUAGGACUACCCGCUGAACUUAAGCAUAUCAAAA
Molecule: ribosomal RNA, 499 nt
Filed under: Candida albicans
Lineage: Eukaryota; Fungi; Ascomycota; Pichiomycetes; Serinales; Debaryomycetaceae
Description: eukaryotic LSU rRNA
Rfam family: 5.8S ribosomal RNA (bases 142-295)
Source: RNAcentral